This 433-nucleotide ribosomal RNA is filed under the name uncultured bacterium. RNAcentral's name for it is "partial 16S ribosomal RNA". It matches the Rfam family "Bacterial small subunit ribosomal RNA", at positions 29 to 507 of the family's 1533-position model. The record is from RNAcentral.
AACGAACGCUGGCGGCAGGCCUAACACAUGCAAGUCGAGCGGACCCUUCGGGGUUAGCGGCGGACGGGUGAGUAACGCGUGGGAAUAUGCCCUUCUCUACGGAAUAGUCCUGGGAAACUGGGGGUAAUACCGUAUACGCCCUUUGGGGGAAAGAUUUAUCGGGGAAGGAUUAGCCCGCGUUGGAUUAGGUAGUUGGUGGGGUAAUGGCCUACCAAGCCGACGAUCCAUAGCUGGUUUGAGAGGAUGAGCAGCCACACUGGGACUGAGACACGGCCCAGACUCCUACGGGAGGCAGCAGUGGGGAAUCUUAGACAAUGGGGGCAACCCUGAUCUAGCCAUGCCGCGUGAGUGAUGAAGGCCUUAGGGUUGUAAAGCUCUUUCAGCUGGGAAGAUAAUGACGGUACCAGCAGAAGAAGCCCCGGCUAACUCCGUG